This is a transfer RNA of Metschnikowia bicuspidata var. bicuspidata NRRL YB-4993, 73 nucleotides long. It matches the Rfam family "tRNA". From Rfam's summary of the family: Transfer RNA (tRNA) molecules are approximately 80 nucleotides in length. NCBI's taxonomy places the organism in Eukaryota, Fungi, Ascomycota, Pichiomycetes, Serinales, Metschnikowiaceae. The record is from Rfam.
GCCUGGCUAGCUCAAUGGCUAGAGCGUGAGACUUUUAAUCUCAAGGCUGCGGGUUCGACCCCCGCGUCGGGCU